AAAGUCAUGAUGUCUUAUGUCAGUCUUUUAAGGUGAAAAAACUAAAAGCUUAAAACUUGGAAUCACUUAUAUACUCAGUAAGAACCCCAAACUCCUGCUCUGUUAAAGUGAACCAUGGAUAUGUCAUUUGCUAACAAAAAAUUUAAAAUAUUCACAAGCUGUGUAUUAAGAAAUUAAAGAUGAAAACCUGGAUAUAUAGAAGGCAAAUUAAUUCACUUUACAAAAGGACUUUCUAUAGCUUCUAACAGCAAGAUUCCUUAGAACACACUUUCUAAACUGAGUGAAUUUAAUGAAGGAAUGUAAAUAAUUACUGGUCAAAGGAAGGUACAGGGAAGCAUAUAGCACAUUAAAUUUAAUCUAUAUUAAAUAAUGCUUAAUGCCUGCCUAAGUUUUAGCAUAGACAAAGCCCACACUUACAAAGAAUUUUGUCUUUACAUCUUCAACCAUAUCUACAGUAUACAAUUCAGCACAGGAUAGGAGCUCAAAUGUUUGUUAUGUAACUCAAGAUGAAAAAUUCAACUCAUGAGGCCCUAAGUUUUUUUUUUUUUUUUUUCUGUACAAAAGCAAAUGCUGACACCAAUUCCAACCAUUUUGAUACCUGGUAUUAUGUUAACAAACUUUUUAUCUUGCCACAUCAAUAAACACUUGAAAGAAUCAUUUCAUAAUUUCAUGAAAGAAAAUGAUUUUUUUAAAUGGACAUAUCUGUAAUUAAGAUUUUACAAUUAAUUUUG
RNAcentral lists this long non-coding RNA (731 nucleotides) under Bos taurus (domestic cattle). Its description in RNAcentral is "long non-coding RNA NONBTAT026622". Lineage: Eukaryota; Metazoa; Chordata; Mammalia; Artiodactyla; Bovidae. The record is from RNAcentral.